This 673-nucleotide long non-coding RNA is filed under the name Zostera marina. RNAcentral describes it as "long non-coding RNA (ZMAR_LNC000117)". The record is from RNAcentral. Lineage: Eukaryota; Viridiplantae; Streptophyta; Magnoliopsida; Alismatales; Zosteraceae.
CGGUUCAAUUGAUAUUCCUGACGAUAUGUGAUUGGUCGGCGCAAGUAUAUAGUGCGGCCAAUUACGUAUCAACAAAGAUCUAAUGAAAUAUCUACUUUUUAAUGACUACGUCUAGUGAUCUCCUCCUCCAUUAAAAGUGAUGAUUUUUUGAUGAAGGACACGUCAACACAACCGACGUAACAACCAUGGCAGUUAGUCGCUCGCUCCUAACUGACGACGCGAAAGCUACAAAAGACGAAGCCUUGCAAGGACUUUGGGAAGACGUUUUAUUUUGCCUUCAAGUAAUAUUUCUUCGUCACUCAUAGUCCUCUCUUUCUUCUUCUCUAACUUUGCUGGUGGAAUCCAGUGUUAAUCAACCGGUGGAUUCCGGCUUGCAUCACACCGCUCGUCAACUCGCACCCGUCUGCCGAUCUCUCGAUUUUCUGAGAAAACUUUGACACUUCGUUUUUGUAAUAUCUGUUGAACUGUAUUUUCUUGUUUGAUUAAACAACUCAAUAAAAUCAAUUCUUCCUCCUGAGUUCUAUCUUCCAUCGGCUUGAAUCUCCUUCGUCAACCAUCGCGUUGUCUUCCCCUAUCAUUUUUGCCGAAAAUGGAAAUUAACAUCGAAGCACAACUCAUUUCUCUCCUCAGUCCUUACCAGAUGGGCAAUUUUGAAUUUUGAUCAAUUCCACAG